AAACGCUGGCGGCGGGCUUACACAUGCAGUCGAACGAGAAAGGUCUUCGGAACUGAGUAAGUGGCGCACGGGUGAGUACGCGUAGGCAACCUACCCCUAGAAUUGGAAUAACUCCGGGAAACCGAAGCUAAUACCGAAUAACAUCUUUUGAUCGCAUGGUCGAAAGAUCAAAACUCCGGUGUCUAGGGAUGGGCCUGCGUAGGAUUAGGUAGUUGGUGAGGUAACGGCUCACCAAGCCGACGAUCCUUAGCUGGUCUGAGAGGAUGAUCAGCCACACUGGCACUGAGACACGGGCCAGACUCCUACAGGAGGCAGCAGUGAGGAAUAUUGCGCAAUGGAGGAAACUCUGACGCAGCCACGCCGCGUGGUGGAUGACACCCCUAUGGGGCGUAAACACCUUUUAUGAGAGAAGAAGUCCCUAUUCGAUAGGGUUUGACGGUACCUCAUGAAUAAGCACCGGCUAACUCCGUGCCAGCAGCCGCGGUAAUACGGAGGGUGCAAGCGUUGUCCGGAAAUCACUGGGUGUAAAGGGUGUGUAGGCGGAGCUGUAAGUCAGAGGUGAAAUCCUGCGGCUUAACCGUAGAACUGGCCUUUGAUACUGGAGCCCUUGAGUAUCGAAAGGGUGCUGGAAUCGGGGUGAAACGGGAAAAGCGUAAUUUCACGAGGAAACCCCAAGGGUGGGGGGACCUGGAGAUUACUGAGCUUAGGCACAAACCGUGGGGAGCCACCCGAUUGAUACUUGGAGUCCGCCGUAACGAUGUGGUCGU
Molecule: ribosomal RNA, 767 nt
Filed under: uncultured Cytophaga sp.
Lineage: Bacteria; Pseudomonadati; Bacteroidota; Cytophagia; Cytophagales; Cytophagaceae
Description: bacterial SSU rRNA
Rfam family: Bacterial small subunit ribosomal RNA
Source: RNAcentral